RNAcentral lists this non-coding RNA (89 nucleotides) under Pseudomonas tolaasii NCPPB 2192. Lineage: Bacteria; Pseudomonadati; Pseudomonadota; Gammaproteobacteria; Pseudomonadales; Pseudomonadaceae. The record is from RNAcentral.
UGUGGGAGCUGGCUUGCCUGCGAUAGCGGUGUGUCAGCCCUCAUAUGUUUGACUGAUGUACCGUUAUCGCAGGCAAGCCAGCUCCCACA